Molecule: ribosomal RNA, 948 nt
Filed under: Triticum aestivum (bread wheat)
Lineage: Eukaryota; Viridiplantae; Streptophyta; Magnoliopsida; Poales; Poaceae
Description: partial small subunit ribosomal RNA
Source: RNAcentral
AUGGCUGGCAGCAAGAAGGUGGCUGCGGCCGGCGGCAAGGACCGCUUCGAGGACCUCCCGGAGCAUGUGCUCGAGCUGCUGCUGUUGUUCCUGGACGCGCGAGAUGUCGUGAGGACGUCCGUGCUCGCUCGCCGCUGGCGCGACCUCUGGAAGUCGGUGCCGGUCCUGCGCUUCCGUCCUUCUUCCAAGUUCGGAUGUGCUGAGAACUUCAACAAUUUUGUGAAUAUGGUGCUCGAGUGCCGUGAUCAGACCUCACCUCUUCGUGAAUGCCAUGUCCAUUCAUAUCUGGAUGGUGAAGAAGACGAGACACACCGUGAUGUUGAAUCGUGGGUACAGUAUGCUGUCUCAUGCCAAGUGUCGGUGCUUCGAGUUCUGAUGUGGGGUGAUCAUCAUUGUAAUUUGGGGCUAUCCAACGACAGCGUCAUCUCCGAGCACUUGACAAAGCUAGAGCUUUAUGGUGUGGACUUUGAGGAAAGCCCUCUAGAUCUUUUGAGCUGUCAGGCACUAGAGGUUCUACAUAUAGAUGGUUGUUGUCUCAACCCUGGGGGUCUGGUCACGUUUGAACUACAGCACUGUGAAGAGUGGACUCCGAUUCUUGAGAGCAUGCCAUUAUUGGCAACAUCAUCUAUCAUUAUUGGCUUUGAAUGCAAAGAUAAUUGUGAUAAUUUUAAGUACCUUGGGAAUUGCGGUGUUGAGCCAUGUGAAGGAUGCUAUGUAGAAGAUGAUUGCUCUGUGCUUCUUGAAGGUCUGUCGGGCGCUACGAAUUUAACGCUGAUAAGCAAAUAUUCUAUGAAGUUUGACAUUGAAUCAAGUGAAAGCUACAACCCAUCAGAAUAUUUCUUGGUGUCGAAGCAUCUCAAGACUUCAGUUUCGAGUGGAGGGAGCUGGAUGACUAAAUCAGAUGGUUUGCUAUUCCUGAUUAUUCAGACUUCCAUGUGCCUGAAUUAA